Molecule: ribosomal RNA, 450 nt
Filed under: uncultured Glomus
Lineage: Eukaryota; Fungi; Glomeromycota; Glomeromycetes; Glomerales; Glomeraceae
Also listed under: 1 other name
Description: SSU rRNA
Rfam family: Eukaryotic small subunit ribosomal RNA
Source: RNAcentral
AGCAGCCGCGGUAAUUCCAGCUCCAAUAGCGUAUAUUAAAGUUGUUGCAGUUAAAAAGCUCGUAGUUGAAUUUCGGAAUCAAUUUGUUGGUCGUGCCUCGGUACGUACUGGUAUUAUUGGUUUCUACCUUCUGAAGAACCUUGAUGUCAUUAAUUUGGUGUCUUGGGGAAUCAGGACUGUUACUUUGAAAAAUUAGAGUGUUUAAAGCAAGCAUACGCUUGAAUACAUUAGCAUGGAAUAAUGAAAUAGGACGUUUGAUUCUAUUUUGUUGGUUUCUAGGAUCGACGUAAUGAUUAAUAGGGAUAGUUGGGGGCAUUAGUAUUCAAUUGUCAGAGGUGAAAUUCUUGGAUUUAUUGAAGACUAACUACUGCGAAAGCAUUUGCCAAGGAUGUUUUCAUUAAUCAAGAACGAAAGUUAGGGGAUCGAAGACGAUCAGAUACCGUCGUAGUC